This 103-nucleotide ribosomal RNA is filed under the name Pteropus alecto (black flying fox). Lineage: Eukaryota; Metazoa; Chordata; Mammalia; Chiroptera; Pteropodidae. The record is from RNAcentral.
AUCUAUGGCCAUGCCACCUCGUCUGAUCUCGGAAGCUAAGCAGGGUCGGGCCUGGUUAGUACUUGGAUGGGAGACCACCUAGGAAGACCAGGUGCCGUAGGUG